Non-coding RNA from Schizosaccharomyces pombe (fission yeast), 583 nucleotides. The record is from the annotation of a GenBank genome assembly. Lineage: Eukaryota; Fungi; Ascomycota; Schizosaccharomycetes; Schizosaccharomycetales; Schizosaccharomycetaceae.
CUCAAUUAAUGAGUGACAUGAGAAAUUUAUACCAAAAUAGAUAUUUGUGGCACACGAAUAUUUUACCAACUUGAACACAGUAUUAGCAGUAAAUUAGAGAAUUUUGUAAAUUCUGUAGAAAUAAAACGAAUUUUUCAUAGACAUAUAUUUAUAUCAAUAGAGCAUUCGAAGUGGUGGAAGAGCAUACAAUUGAUUUUUUCAUCGAAUAAAUUUCAAUAAAAAGAGAAAAUUUAGAAUUAUAACAAUUUCUCACUGUCAAACGUUGAUCACAAGGAUAUAAAUAGUUUUUUAUUUUAUUUCAUAAGUAUCUAGUCAGUUGAAUAUAGUAUCGAAGAAAAAUACAAUCAAAUUUCAUUGUUUUGUUCAUGAAUUCCCGGUGAACCGAGUAGCAGUUGCUUUUCUGACAUUGCGAGGAAAAAGCCUUUUUUAAAAUGUAAGAUGUUUUUUAGUUUCAAAAUAUGCACAUACGCCAUUCUAAAGAUUGCAGGAACAUCGUAAAAUGCGAAUACAUGGAGAUAAUACCAAAUAUCAUGUCGAUAUUACAAAACCUCUUUUAAUUUAUAAAAGCAGCAGCACCUUACAG